CGGACGGGUGAGUAACGCGUGGGUAACCUGCCCUGUACAGGGGGACAACAGCCGGAAACGGCUGCUAAUACCGCAUAAGCCCGCGGCGCCGCAUGGCGCUGCGGGGAAGACUCCGGUGGUACAGGAUGGGCCCGCGUCUGAUUAGCUAGUUGGCGGGGUAACGGCCCACCAAGGCAGCGAUCAGUAGCCGGCUUGAGAGAGUGGACGGCCACAUUGGGACUGAGACACGGCCCAGACUCCUACGGGAGGCAGCAG
This 255-nucleotide ribosomal RNA is filed under the name uncultured bacterium. Its description in RNAcentral is "partial 16S ribosomal RNA". It matches the Rfam family "Bacterial small subunit ribosomal RNA", at positions 99 to 354 of the family's 1533-position model. The record is from RNAcentral.